RNAcentral lists this ribosomal RNA (677 nucleotides) under Dimorphostylis coronata. RNAcentral describes it as "partial large subunit ribosomal RNA". It matches the Rfam family "Eukaryotic large subunit ribosomal RNA", at positions 660 to 1248 of the family's 3401-position model. RNAcentral also lists the same sequence under 1 other name. Lineage: Eukaryota; Metazoa; Arthropoda; Malacostraca; Cumacea; Diastylidae. The record is from RNAcentral.
CACGGAUCAAGGAGUCUAACUCGUGCGCAAGUCCUUCGAGCCGCUUCACGAAGCUUUAGAGGGCGCAACGAAAGUAAACACGAGGCGGACCCGAGACGAGAGGCCUUCGAACGCCCGGCGUAGGAGGCUCUUUCGAUUUCGGCGCACGCCAGGGGUCCGUUCUAGCGGCGCACGAACUCGAUUCGCGCGUCGCGUUCGAACGAGCGGGCUCUCCGAGCGCGCGGGAUAGUACCCGAAAGAUGGUGAUCUAUGCUUGGUUAGAACGAAGCCGGGGGAAACACCGGUGGAGGUUCGUGGCGAUUCUGACGUGCAAAUCGAUCGUCGGAGCUGAGUAUAGGGGCGAAAGACCAAUCGAACCAUCUAGUAGCUGGUUCCUUCCGAAGUUUCUCUCAGGAUAGCUGGCGUUCGAUCGGAAAGAGUUUCAUCCGGUAAAGAGAAUGAUUAGAGGUACGAGGGGACGAAACGUCCUCAGCCCAUUAUCAAACUUUAAAUGGGUGAGAAGUCGGACUUGCGUAAAACGAAGUCACGACCGUUACGAAUAGAAUCUGAACGCCUAGUGGGCCACUUUUGGUAAGCAGAAUUGGCGAUGUGGGACGAACCAAACGUCGGGUUAAGGGGCCAAAAAGUCGGUUAAUAAAGAGAAUUUAAAGGCGUUGGUCGCUCUAGACAGCGGACGG